This 744-nucleotide ribosomal RNA is filed under the name uncultured organism. RNAcentral's name for it is "bacterial SSU rRNA". It matches the Rfam family "Bacterial small subunit ribosomal RNA", at positions 39 to 827 of the family's 1533-position model. The record is from RNAcentral.
GCGACGUGCCUAAGGUAUGCAAGUCGAAUGCCGAUUUAUCGGCAUGGCAGACGGCUGAGUAACACAUGGGAAUCUACCUCAAACUCGAGAAUAGCCCAUCGAAAGGUGGUGUAAUACUCGAUAGUUCCGUUUACGGUAAAGCUCCGGCGGUUUGAGAUGAGCCCAUGUCCUAUCAGGUUGUUGGUGGGGUAAUUGCCUACCAAGCCUAUGACGGGUAGCUGGUUUGAGAGGAUGAUCAGCCAGACUGGGACUGCGAUACGGCCCAGACUCCUACGGGAGGCAGCAACUAGGAAUCAUGCGCAAUGGACGAAAGUCUGACGCUGCGACGUCGCGUGAGGGAUGAAGGUCUUAGGAUCGUAAACCUCUUUUAUCUGGGAACAAGUUCUGAGUGUACCAGAUGAAUAAGUGCCUGCCAACCACGUGCCAGAAGCAUCGGUAAUGCGUGGGGCACGAGCGUUAUCCGGAUUUACUGGGCGUAAAGAGAUGCGUAGGCGCCUUUUUAAGUCACUUGUAAAAUCUCCCCGCUCAACGGGGAAACUGCAAGUGAUACUGAAUUGGUUGAGUCAAGUAGAGGAGAGGGGAAUUCCUGGUGGAGCGGUUAAAUGCGUUGAUAUCAGGAGGAAUACCAAGUGCGAAGGCACCUCUCUGGACUUGUACUGACGCUAAGGCUCGAAAGUGUGGGGAGCAAAACGGAUUAGAUACCCGUGUAGUCCACACUGUAAACGAUCCCUGCUAGAUGUUUGC